This 64-nucleotide transfer RNA is filed under the name Cavia porcellus (domestic guinea pig). It matches the Rfam family "tRNA", at positions 1 to 62 of the family's 71-position model. From Rfam's summary of the family: Transfer RNA (tRNA) molecules are approximately 80 nucleotides in length. Their secondary structure includes four short double-helical elements and three loops (D, anti-codon, and T loops). Lineage: Eukaryota; Metazoa; Chordata; Mammalia; Rodentia; Caviidae. The record is from Rfam by way of RNAcentral.
GGGGAUUUGGCUCAGUAGCAUAAGCACCUGCCUGAUGAGCACGAGGUCGUGAGUUCAAUCCCCA